Molecule: ribosomal RNA, 466 nt
Filed under: uncultured bacterium
Lineage: Bacteria
Description: bacterial SSU rRNA
Rfam family: Bacterial small subunit ribosomal RNA
Source: RNAcentral
UUACGGGAGGCAGCAGUGAGGAAUUUUGGACAAUGGGCGAAAGCCUGAUCCAGCAAUGCCGCGUGCAGGAAGAAGGCCUUCGGGUUGUAAAUUGCUUUUGUACGGAACGAAAAGGCUCUUUCUAAUAAAGAGGGCCCAUGACGGUACCGUAAGAAUAAGCACCGGCUAACUACGUGCCAGCAGCCGCGGUAAUACGUAGGGUGCGAGCGUUAAUCGGAAUUACUGGGCGUAAAGCGUGCGCAGGCGGUUCUAUAAGACAGAUGUGAAAUCCCCGGGCUCAACCUGGGAAUGGCAUUUGUGACUGUAGAGCUAGAGUACGGUAGAGGGGGAUGGAAUUCCGCGUGUAGCAGUGAAAUGCGUAGAUAUGCGGAGGAACACCGAUGGCGAAGGCAAUCCCCUGGACCUGUACUGACGCUCAUGCACGAAAGCGUGGGGAGCAAACAGGAUUAGAUACCCCAGUAGUCCU